UGGGGAAUUUUGGACAAUGGGGGCAACCCUGAUCCAGCAAUGCCGCGUGUGUGAAGAAGGCCUUCGGGUUGUAAAGCACUUUUGUCCGGAAAGAAAUCGCCCUGGCUAAUAUCCGGGGUGGAUGACGGUACUGGAAGAAUAAGCACCGGCUAACUACGUGCCAGCAGCCGCGGUAAUACGUAGGGUGCGAGCGUUAAUCGGAAUUACUGGGCGCAAAGCGUGCGCAGGCGGUUGUGCAAGACAGAUGUGAAAUCCCCGGGCUUAACCUGGGAAUGGCAUUUGUGACUGCACGGCUAGAGUGUGUCAGAGGGGGGUAGAAUUCCACGUGUAGCAGUGAAAUGCGUAGAUAUGUGGAGGAACACCGAUGGCGAAGGCAGCCCCCUGGGAUAACACUGACGCUCAUGCACGAAAGCGUGGGGAGCAAACAGGAUUAGAUACCCUGGUAGUCCACGCCCUAAAANGAUGUCAACUAGUUGUCGGGUCUUAAUUGACUUGGUAACGCAGCUAACGCGUGAAGUUGACCGCCUGGGGGAGUAC
Molecule: ribosomal RNA, 537 nt
Filed under: uncultured bacterium
Lineage: Bacteria
Description: partial 16S ribosomal RNA
Rfam family: Bacterial small subunit ribosomal RNA
Source: RNAcentral